RNAcentral lists this ribosomal RNA (373 nucleotides) under uncultured bacterium. RNAcentral's name for it is "bacterial SSU rRNA". It matches the Rfam family "Bacterial small subunit ribosomal RNA", at positions 527 to 896 of the family's 1533-position model. The record is from RNAcentral.
GUAGGGGGCAAGCGUUGUCCGGAUUUAUUGGGCGUAAAGAGCUCGUAGGUGGUUUGGUAAGUCGGAUGUGAAAUCUCCAGGCUCAACCUGGAGGGGUCAUUCGAUACUGCCAUGACUAGAGGUCGGUAGGGGAGUGUGGAAUUCCUGGUGGAGCGGUGAAAUGCGCAGAUAUCAGGAGGAACACCCGUAGCGAAGGCGGCACUCUGGGCCGAUUCUGACACUGAGGAGCGAAAGCGUGGGGAGCGAACAGGAUUAGAUACCCUGGUAGUCCACGCCGUAAACGUUGGGCACUAGGUGUGGGACUCUAUCGACGGGUUCCGUGCCGUAGCUAACGCAUUAAGUGCCCCGCCUGGGGAGUACGGCCGCAAGGCUA